RNAcentral lists this ribosomal RNA (302 nucleotides) under uncultured bacterium. RNAcentral describes it as "partial 16S ribosomal RNA". It matches the Rfam family "Bacterial small subunit ribosomal RNA", at positions 508 to 807 of the family's 1533-position model. The record is from RNAcentral.
GCAGCCGCCGCGGUAACACGGAGGGUGCAAGCGUUACUCGGAAUCACUGGGCGUAAAGGACGCGUAGGCGGAUUAUCAAGUCUCUUGUGAAAUCUAACGGCUUAACCGUUAAACUGCUUGGGAAACUGAUAAUCUAGAGUAAGGGAGAGGCAGAUGGAAUUCUUGGUGUAGGGGUAAAAUCCGUAGAGAUCAAGAAGAAUACCCAUUGCGAAAGCGAUCUGCUGGAACUUAACUGACGCUAAUGCGUGAAAGCGUGGGGAGCAAACAGGAUUAGAUACCCCCGUAGUCCCUGUCUCUUAUAC